Rosa rugosa (rugosa rose) is the source of this 629-nucleotide long non-coding RNA. RefSeq lists it as uncharacterized. Lineage: Eukaryota; Viridiplantae; Streptophyta; Magnoliopsida; Rosales; Rosaceae. The transcript has 3 exons. The record is from RefSeq and is a predicted model, not a curated record.
GAAAAAUUCCGGCCACCUCGACUGUUUUAGGUGAUUGACGGUCUUCCUUGGGUGAGCGAUUUCGGUGUGUAUUGUGUUGAAUUGAAGACGCAGCGGGAAUAUCGAGCGGGUAAUCCUACAGGUCAGGCGAAUCGGGAAGGUGAUCGAGCUGCUUAGAGAAAUUGCAUUGGGUAAAUCUGGAUUUAUAUUGUGAGGUUUAUUAUGCUCUUUUGAGUAUUGUAAAUUAAGUUGUGAGAGUGUGAUGUAAUAAGUAAAUUGAAGAUUGGUUUUUGUAAUAUUGAGAGGUGUGAAGUGUGGUUGUUUGUGAGAAAAAAAUUCAGGACGUUAUUUGUAUUGAUGUUAAUCAUGUUUCGGAUUUGAAUUGAUUAUUCAAAAUUCGGGGCGUGACACCACCAACCUGCGAAACCAGCAUAGCUCCGAACGGUGACCUCAUCAGAAGGGAAGAGUAGAUCGAGUGAGAGUGGCUUCCACAAUCCCAUGGUUUUUGGUGGGUUUGUGGUAGACGGUGUCGGGGUGGUUUUUGGGACUGUGGAGUCUCAUUAAAAAGAGUCCCCUUGCUGCCAAACAUGGGAUAACUGGGAUUGGACUAGAUAAGAAUGUCCAAUCCAGUCCAAUCCCGUGUAACAAAC